AAUUAGCAUCUGCAGUAUAAGAUUUGACCUCUCAUGGUGAGGAGCCUUCCCCUCUGUCCCCUAAGCCAGAGUGACUCUCUCCCCAGUCAAGGCUCUUAAGAGCCCAGACUGAUUCACAAAAGCUGACUACUGCAUAGUUCAUCUGGAGUAAUAUAUACCUAAGUUUCUCUUCAAAAUUACUUCCAAGCUUUUUUAAGACUCCGUCUUGAUCCAGUUCUCACUCUGGAAUAACCCAUGUUUUGCAGCAUGAAAACCACAUUGUUUUCAUGGAGAAGGGAGUUGAGUACCUGCAUUCUAGCUGCUGGCAGACCCAUCUAGUGAUUAUAACAGGACCAUCUCCUCUGAAUCACAUCCUAGGAGCCAGUCUUCUAAGGGUCCCAGCACAUGGCUGUUCUGCCUUUUUACGGGUUUAUUAAAAACCAGUUCAUUCUGCUCUGGCCCCCUGAAGAACUGUACAAUCUAUUUCUCAGUCCAAGUACCCUGUACCUGUUUUUGUCCUACUGGCAAUCUUACCUUUAAGAUAUUCACAUUUUAGUUCUUAUAUGCUCCAACUUCCU
RNAcentral lists this long non-coding RNA (557 nucleotides) under Bos taurus (domestic cattle). Its description in RNAcentral is "long non-coding RNA NONBTAT017075". The record is from RNAcentral. Lineage: Eukaryota; Metazoa; Chordata; Mammalia; Artiodactyla; Bovidae.